Molecule: unclassified non-coding RNA, 874 nt
Filed under: Portunus trituberculatus (swimming crab)
Lineage: Eukaryota; Metazoa; Arthropoda; Malacostraca; Decapoda; Portunidae
Description: uncharacterized LOC123502382, transcript variant X4
Source: RNAcentral
GGGGAGGGGACGAGAACGAAGCAGGGUCAAUAGCUCAGAAUGACAGCUAUACCAGUUUAACUCCAGACAUCACGCCCGCUACAUCUCACCUCUCCAGUCACCACGCCACUACGCCACCACCGACCCCUCGAGUCUACGCAGCCCGGUGUCCGUCUGUGUCUUGUCGUCGGGCGUGACGUGCAGCAAAGGCGGUAACAGCAACGGGAAGUUUUAUCUACGUGAUGGAGGUUUUUCGUGCGGCGAGGUGACGUGCCGCUGCUGUGAGAUUAGCGGACCACCCCACCCCACUCUACAGCCACAGCACAGCAUAGCCACAGCACAGCGGAGAGGUUGGGGAUGGGGGAGAACGAGAACGAAGCAAGGUCAUUAGCUCAAUGGCAGCUAGAUCAGUAUAACUCCAGACAUCACGCCACCACCGACCCCUCGAGUGUACGAGUGAUUGGGAGGAAUGAAAGUGAGCGUGAAUGGAGGCAAGAGGAGGCAGAGUGGAAACUGAAUGCAGUGUGAUAAGAGACAGAAGGGAUGAAUAAGUGGAGUGUGUGACCGAGUUAGGGCACUAUGAAGACGUGUAAGGAAUGGUGGUGGUGGUGGAGAAACUAAGUUGAGACGAGUGAAAGGGUUUCAGCCAGUUUUAGGACGGACAGAGGAGGGAAAUGGUGUUAGUGAGUUAGGGCUUAUUAUGGAUGAAAUGAAGACGUGAAGGGAAAGUGUGGUGUUGAAAAUGUGUAGAGACGAGUGAAAGGCAGUGAAGGUGUGUUUAGGGCAAUGUUGCGUUAGAUGUAGGGAUAAUUAGUAAACAAGGUAUUGCUGUUUUGUUAAUUUUGUCCAUUACAGGAGUUGACUAUCCGAAGGCCUGACUCGCAGCGGCAAUGAG